GAUGAACGCUGGCGGCGUGCCUAAUACAUGCAAGUCGAGCGAACAGACGAGGAGCUUGCUCCUCUGACGUUAGCGGCGGACGGGUGAGUAACACGUAGAUAACCUACCUAUAAGACUGGGAUAACUUCGGGAAACCGGAGCUAAUACCGGAUAAUAUAUUGAACCUCAUGGUUCAAUAGUGAAAGACGGUUUUGCUGUCACUUAUAGAUGGAUCCGCGCCGCAUUAGCUAGUUGGUAAGGUAACGGCUUACCAAGGCAACGAUGCGUAGCCGACCUGAGAGGGUGAUCGGCCACACUGGAACUGAGACACGGUCCAGACUCCUACGGGAGGCAGCAGUAGGGAAUCUUCCGCAAUGGGCGAAAGCCUGACGGAGCAACGCCGCGUGAGUGAUGAAGGUCUUCGGAUCGUAAAACUCUGUUAUUAGGGAAGAACAAAUGUGUAAGUAACUAUGCACGUCUUGACGGUACCUAAUCAGAAAGCCACGGCUAACUACGUG
This 497-nucleotide ribosomal RNA is filed under the name uncultured bacterium. RNAcentral's name for it is "partial 16S ribosomal RNA". It matches the Rfam family "Bacterial small subunit ribosomal RNA", at positions 28 to 507 of the family's 1533-position model. The record is from RNAcentral.